GGUUUACCUACUUCACAUUAGAAGGUCCUGCUACACAUGGAUCAUCACUGUGCUGUCCUCUCUUUACAGCAUCUGCAUAAGAUGGUGGUGGUGCACAUGAAGCAUCAGGCUGACCUUCCUGCUCCACACGUUUACACUCUGCAGACAUCUUUACCUCUUCACUGCUCUCAGGACCAACACAUUCUGCUCCUUCAGUCGUUGUUGCACAGGGAUUCUCAUUGGGCCGCUGCCAGCGCAGGCUCUGAUCUUGUGACCUCUUACUCUUCCUUGGCAUUGUUGAUGUUUCAAAACCACAAAUGUUGUCGUACAAAACCAAGAUAUUAAAUACAAUAUGAAUACUAUGUUAUACUAGUUUAUAUUCAAAACCAGGAACAGUGGUGUGAGUUUGAUGGCAGAUGAAUGCUCCAAAAGAACGUUGGGUCUGCAGACAGGAAACGUCAAAUAAAUCCAAUUCUGACAGAUGCUUGUAUUUUAUUUCAGUAUGAAAAGUUUAACAACAAAACACUUGGACACUUAAACAAUGUAUGUGUAUAUGAAAAAGAUUUUAAAUAAAGUAAACAAUAAUUUUGCUAAUAUAUCUAGUGAUAUUCAAUUAAAGAAACCGUGCUAUGUGUAUAAAUAUCCUGUUAACCUUUUUUCCAAUUUUACGUUCAAACUAAUUCUGACUAAAACAGACUCAGUUUAUUCCAAAAGCUUUGCCCAAUUUGUAGAUAGUAAUCGUAUUCUAUUGCGUGUAGAUAGAAGAUUAAAAGAGGAUAAUCUGAUAGUAGAUCUAGUAGAACAGGUACUUGUAACCUGAGGUUGUUGUAACAAAGGGUACCAACGUAAUGUGGUUCAGCAGAGUUUGUUCAUCAAAAGAUGGAUCAGGUACUUGUGAGGUUGUUGUAAUAAAGGGUAACCAACGUUAUGUGGUUAGAUCAGGUAUUAGUAACCUGAAUUGUAUAUUGUAGACAGAGCGGUAGAUUUGAUAGGAUAGAUAGAGGUUCCAAUAAUGAGACAGAGUGGAUAGAAGGUAUAGGAUAGACAGAGAGCGUUUAUGAUAGAGGAGAGAUGCUGGCCAGCAGGACACCUGUAAGACACAAUAAAACAUGCAUUAGACAGCAGGUCGAACAACAAACUGAGUAACCUCUACUGUAAGCUUAAAGAUCACUGAAGGUUUCUAGUUAAAUGACCAGAUCAUAAACCCAUGUAAUAAUAUUUAAAAGUUGUUCUUAAAUGCGUUUAUUAAUUUGGCUGGAUUAAGACACCUCAAGGCCGGACCACACUCCCUGUGUUUCUCACACAAGUAGUUUGCACACAGUGUUGUUGCUACUGCCAGCACUUCUUUCUAAUUGUUCUCUUAUAAUUACUAUAAUUAAACAGUAUAAUAUAUUAUACAUUCAUAUUAACAUUAAACUAACGGGUUAAGAAGCUCCUUAAUAAAUAGAAAAAAUAAUCUUAAUAUUAAAGGCCGGUACUUUUUUCAAAGUUAUUGCAUUUUCCUACACUAUACUGCAAAUAUUUCAGAAUAAAAUGUGUUUUAACAAAUGAUGGGAUGCUUUUGACAAAAAAAUGUUAGCAGGCUUUUAUUAUUAUGUUAAGAGUUGAGUUAAAUACUUGUUUCCUGCCUGUGAAAUAUCUCCAGAUAUAGACAUUAAAACAGUAAGAGGCUAGUAUUACAUCAAUACACUGUCACAGGAUUGUUUUUACAGUCCAUGUCACUUCCACAGUCACGGUCGGUCUUGGGCAUCAGUGUUUCACUUCAACUUUACUAUGUGUUUUGACUCAUCUGGGAACUUACUGUCAGAUCACCAAGACGUCCAAAGUGGAGUAGACAGGGAAGACUAGGCCACUU
Gasterosteus aculeatus aculeatus (three-spined stickleback) is the source of this 1834-nucleotide long non-coding RNA. NCBI's taxonomy places the organism in Eukaryota, Metazoa, Chordata, Actinopteri, Perciformes, Gasterosteidae. The record is from Ensembl.